This 239-nucleotide long non-coding RNA is filed under the name Mustela putorius furo (domestic ferret). RNAcentral describes it as "lncRNA (ENSMPUG00000025254.1)". Lineage: Eukaryota; Metazoa; Chordata; Mammalia; Carnivora; Mustelidae. The record is from RNAcentral.
CUAGCUUUAGGCAAUAUGGUACAGUAUUACAAUAUAGGCUCCGGAGUUGAAAUCUUGGCUUUUCCUCUUGCUGAUUGUGUCGAUUUUGGUAGCUGAAUAUUUGUUGAAGAAAUACAUCUGGGGACAAGGACCCUUUCUUGAAUCUCAUAAAUCACACAUGCCUUUUCCUCUGAAAUGUAAGGUAUGGCUGCUCCACUUUCUGCCAGCUCUGGUGGGAGGGGAACCUUUCUCACCUCAUU